Molecule: ribosomal RNA, 1540 nt
Filed under: Klebsiella pneumoniae
Lineage: Bacteria; Pseudomonadati; Pseudomonadota; Gammaproteobacteria; Enterobacterales; Enterobacteriaceae
Description: bacterial SSU rRNA
Rfam family: Bacterial small subunit ribosomal RNA
Source: RNAcentral
AAAUUGAAGAGUUUGAUCAUGGCUCAGAUUGAACGCUGGCGGCAGGCCUAACACAUGCAAGUCGAGCGGUAGCACAGAGAGCUUGCUCUCGGGUGACGAGCGGCGGACGGGUGAGUAAUGUCUGGGAAACUGCCUGAUGGAGGGGGAUAACUACUGGAAACGGUAGCUAAUACCGCAUAAUGUCGCAAGACCAAAGUGGGGGACCUUCGGGCCUCAUGCCAUCAGAUGUGCCCAGAUGGGAUUAGCUAGUAGGUGGGGUAACGGCUCACCUAGGCGACGAUCCCUAGCUGGUCUGAGAGGAUGACCAGCCACACUGGAACUGAGACACGGUCCAGACUCCUACGGGAGGCAGCAGUGGGGAAUAUUGCACAAUGGGCGCAAGCCUGAUGCAGCCAUGCCGCGUGUGUGAAGAAGGCCUUCGGGUUGUAAAGCACUUUCAGCGGGGAGGAAGGCGAUAAGGUUAAUAACCUUGGCGAUUGACGUUACCCGCAGAAGAAGCACCGGCUAACUCCGUGCCAGCAGCCGCGGUAAUACGGAGGGUGCAAGCGUUAAUCGGAAUUACUGGGCGUAAAGCGCACGCAGGCGGUCUGUCAAGUCGGAUGUGAAAUCCCCGGGCUCAACCUGGGAACUGCAUUCGAAACUGGCAGGCUAGAGUCUUGUAGAGGGGGGUAGAAUUCCAGGUGUAGCGGUGAAAUGCGUAGAGAUCUGGAGGAAUACCGGUGGCGAAGGCGGCCCCCUGGACAAAGACUGACGCUCAGGUGCGAAAGCGUGGGGAGCAAACAGGAUUAGAUACCCUGGUAGUCCACGCCGUAAACGAUGUCGAUUUGGAGGUUGUGCCCUUGAGGCGUGGCUUCCGGAGCUAACGCGUUAAAUCGACCGCCUGGGGAGUACGGCCGCAAGGUUAAAACUCAAAUGAAUUGACGGGGGCCCGCACAAGCGGUGGAGCAUGUGGUUUAAUUCGAUGCAACGCGAAGAACCUUACCUGGUCUUGACAUCCACAGAACUUAGCAGAGAUGCUUUGGUGCCUUCGGGAACUGUGAGACAGGUGCUGCAUGGCUGUCGUCAGCUCGUGUUGUGAAAUGUUGGGUUAAGUCCCGCAACGAGCGCAACCCUUAUCCUUUGUUGCCAGCGGUCCGGCCGGGAACUCAAAGGAGACUGCCAGUGAUAAACUGGAGGAAGGUGGGGAUGACGUCAAGUCAUCAUGGCCCUUACGACCAGGGCUACACACGUGCUACAAUGGCAUAUACAAAGAGAAGCGACCUCGCGAGAGCAAGCGGACCUCAUAAAGUAUGUCGUAGUCCGGAUUGGAGUCUGCAACUCGACUCCAUGAAGUCGGAAUCGCUAGUAAUCGUAGAUCAGAAUGCUACGGUGAAUACGUUCCCGGGCCUUGUACACACCGCCCGUCACACCAUGGGAGUGGGUUGCAAAAGAAGUAGGUAGCUUAACCUUCGGGAGGGCGCUUACCACUUUGUGAUUCAUGACUGGGGUGAAGUCGUAACAAGGUAACCGUAGGGGAACCUGCGGUUGGAUCACCUCCUUA